AGCAGCCGCGGUAAUUCCAGCUCCAAUAGCGUAUAUUAAAGUUGUUGCAGUUAAAAAGCUCGUAGUUGAAUUUCGGGGUCGGUAGGUUGGUCAUGCCUCUGGUAUGCACUGGUCUCACUGAUUCCUCCUUCCUGAUGAGCCGUAAUGCCAUUAAUUUGGUAUUGCGAGGAAUCUGGACUGUUACUUUGAAAAAAUUAGAGUGUUUAAAGCAAGCUAACGCUUGAAUACAUUAGCAUGGAAUAAUGGAAUAGGACGUUCGAUCCUAUUUUGUUGGUUUCUAGGAUUGACGUAAUGAUUAAUAGGGAUAGUUGGGGGCAUUAGUAUUCAAUUGUCAGAGGUGAAAUUCUUGGAUUUAUUGAAGACUAACUACUGCGAAAGCAUUUGCCAAGGAUGUUUUCAUUAAUCAAGAACGAAAGUUAGGGGAUCGAAGACGAUCAGAUACCGUCGUAGUCUUAACCAUAAACUAUGCCGACUAGGGAUCGGAUGAUGUUAAUUUUUUAAUGACUCAUUCGGCGCCUUACG
This 522-nucleotide ribosomal RNA is filed under the name uncultured Glomus. RNAcentral describes it as "SSU rRNA". It matches the Rfam family "Eukaryotic small subunit ribosomal RNA", at positions 569 to 1092 of the family's 1831-position model. The record is from RNAcentral. Lineage: Eukaryota; Fungi; Glomeromycota; Glomeromycetes; Glomerales; Glomeraceae.